Small nucleolar RNA from Cynocephalus volans (Philippine flying lemur), 115 nucleotides. RefSeq annotates it as small nucleolar RNA SNORD22. The record is from RefSeq and is a predicted model, not a curated record. NCBI's taxonomy places the organism in Eukaryota, Metazoa, Chordata, Mammalia, Dermoptera, Cynocephalidae. The transcript has a single exon.
CACCGGACACCACAUUCACAUCAGGCUCCUUCUUGGCCCUUAAAACCAAGUGGACUCACUGGGGUAACUGGGGGAAAGGAUGAAAACUUGUUCCAUAAGGAACUGUCUGAGGUAC